GGGUUGUGAGGUUAAGCGACUAAGCGUACACGGUGGAUGCCCUGGCAGUCAGAGGCGAUGAAGGACGUGCUAAUCUGCGAUAAGCGUCGGUAAGGUGAUAUGAACCGUUAUAACCGGCGAUUUCCGAAUGGGGAAACCCAGUGUGAUUCGUCACACUAUCAUUAACUGAAUCCAUAGGUUAAUGAGGCGAACCGGGGGAACUGAAACAUCUAAGUACCCCGAGGAAAAGAAAUCAACCGAGAUUCCCCCAGUAGCGGCGAGCGAACGGGGAGCAGCCCAGAGCCUGAAUCAGUGUGUGUGUUAGUGGAAGCGUCUGGAAAGGCGCGCGAUACAGGGUGACAGCCCCGUACACAAAAAUGCACAUGCUGUGAGCUCGAUGAGUAGGGCGGGACACGUGGUAUCCUGUCUGAAUAUGGGGGGACCAUCCUCCAAGGCUAAAUACUCCUGACUGACCGAUAGUGAACCAGUACCGUGAGGGAAAGGCGAAAAGAACCCCGGCGAGGGGAGUGAAAAAGAACCUGAAACCGUGUACGUACAAGCAGUGGGAGCACGCUUAGGCGUGUGACUGCGUACCUUUUGUAUAAUGGGUCAGCGACUUAUAUUCUGUAGCAAGGUUAACCGAAUAGGGGAGCCGAAGGGAAACCGAGUCUUAACUGGGCGUUAAGUUGCAGGGUAUAGACCCGAAACCCGGUGAUCUAGCCAUGGGCAGGUUGAAGGUUGGGUAACACUAACUGGAGGACCGAACCGACUAAUGUUGAAAAAUUAGCGGAUGACUUGUGGCUGGGGGUGAAAGGCCAAUCAAACCGGGAGAUAGCUGGUUCUCCCCGAAAGCUAUUUAGGUAGCGCCUCGUGAAUUCAUCUCCGGGGGUAGAGCACUGUUUCGGCAAGGGGGUCAUCCCGACUUACCAACCCGAUGCAAACUGCGAAUACCGGAGAAUGUUAUCACGGGAGACACACGGCGGGUGCUAACGUCCGUCGUGAAGAGGGAAACAACCCAGACCGCCAGCUAAGGUCCCAAAGUCAUGGUUAAGUGGGAAACGAUGUGGGAAGGCCCAGACAGCCAGGAUGUUGGCUUAGAAGCAGCCAUCAUUUAAAGAAAGCGUAAUAGCUCACUGGUCGAGUCGGCCUGCGCGGAAGAUGUAACGGGGCUAAACCAUGCACCGAAGCUGCGGCAGCGACACUAUGUGUUGUUGGGUAGGGGAGCGUUCUGUAAGCCUGCGAAGGUGUGCUGUGAGGCAUGCUGGAGGUAUCAGAAGUGCGAAUGCUGACAUAAGUAACGAUAAAGCGGGUGAAAAGCCCGCUCGCCGGAAGACCAAGGGUUCCUGUCCAACGUUAAUCGGGGCAGGGUGAGUCGACCCCUAAGGCGAGGCCGAAAGGCGUAGUCGAUGGGAAACAGGUUAAUAUUCCUGUACUUGGUGUUACUGCGAAGGGGGGACGGAGAAGGCUAUGUUGGCCGGGCGACGGUUGUCCCGGUUUAAGCGUGUAGGCUGGUUUUCCAGGCAAAUCCGGAAAAUCAAGGCUGAGGCGUGAUGACGAGGCACUACGGUGCUGAAGCAACAAAUGCCCUGCUUCCAGGAAAAGCCUCUAAGCAUCAGGUAACAUCAAAUCGUACCCCAAACCGACACAGGUGGUCAGGUAGAGAAUACCAAGGCGCUUGAGAGAACUCGGGUGAAGGAACUAGGCAAAAUGGUGCCGUAACUUCGGGAGAAGGCACGCUGAUAUGUAGGUGAAGUCCCUCGCGGAUGGAGCUGAAAUCAGUCGAAGAUACCAGCUGGCUGCAACUGUUUAUUAAAAACACAGCACUGUGCAAACACGAAAGUGGACGUAUACGGUGUGACGCCUGCCCGGUGCCGGAAGGUUAAUUGAUGGGGUCAGCGCAAGCGAAGCUCUUGAUCGAAGCCCCGGUAAACGGCGGCCGUAACUAUAACGGUCCUAAGGUAGCGAAAUUCCUUGUCGGGUAAGUUCCGACCUGCACGAAUGGCGUAAUGAUGGCCAGGCUGUCUCCACCCGAGACUCAGUGAAAUUGAACUCGCUGUGAAGAUGCAGUGUACCCGCGGCAAGACGGAAAGACCCCGUGAACCUUUACUAUAGCUUGACACUGAACAUUGAGCCUUGAUGUGUAGGAUAGGUGGGAGGCUUUGAAGUGUGGACGCCAGUCUGCAUGGAGCCGACCUUGAAAUACCACCCUUUAAUGUUUGAUGUUCUAACGUGGACCCGUAAUCCGGGUUGCGGACAGUGUCUGGUGGGUAGUUUGACUGGGGCGGUCUCCUCCUAAAGAGUAACGGAGGAGCACGAAGGUUGGCUAAUCCUGGUCGGACAUCAGGAGGUUAGUGCAAUGGCAUAAGCCAGCUUGACUGCGAGCGUGACGGCGCGAGCAGGUGCGAAAGCAGGUCAUAGUGAUCCGGUGGUUCUGAAUGGAAGGGCCAUCGCUCAACGGAUAAAAGGUACUCCGGGGAUAACAGGCUGAUACCGCCCAAGAGUUCAUAUCGACGGCGGUGUUUGGCACCUCGAUGUCGGCUCAUCACAUCCUGGGGCUGAAGUAGGUCCCAAGGGUAUGGCUGUUCGCCAUUUAAAGUGGUACGCGAGCUGGGUUUAGAACGUCGUGAGACAGUUCGGUCCCUAUCUGCCGUGGGCGCUGGAGAACUGAGGGGGGCUGCUCCUAGUACGAGAGGACCGGAGUGGACGCAUCACUGGUGUUCGGGUUGUCAUGCCAAUGGCACUGCCCGGUAGCUAAAUGCGGAAGAGAUAAGUGCUGAAAGCAUCUAAGCACGAAACUUGCCCCGAGAUGAGUUCUCCCUGACUCCUUGAGAGUCCUGAAGGAACGUUGAAGACGACGACGUUGAUAGGCCGGGUGUGUAAGCGCAGCGAUGCGUUGAGCUAACCGGUACUAAUGAACCGUGAGGCUUAACCUUACAACGCCGAAGCUGUU
Molecule: ribosomal RNA, 2929 nt
Filed under: Escherichia coli
Lineage: Bacteria; Pseudomonadati; Pseudomonadota; Gammaproteobacteria; Enterobacterales; Enterobacteriaceae
Description: 23S ribosomal RNA
Rfam family: Bacterial large subunit ribosomal RNA
Source: RNAcentral